RNAcentral lists this ribosomal RNA (301 nucleotides) under uncultured bacterium. RNAcentral's name for it is "partial 16S ribosomal RNA". It matches the Rfam family "Bacterial small subunit ribosomal RNA", at positions 509 to 807 of the family's 1533-position model. The record is from RNAcentral.
CAGUCGCCGCGGUAAUACGAAGGGUGCAAGCGUUACUCGGAAUUACUGGGCGUAAAGCGUGCGUAGGUGGUGGUUUAAGUCCGUUGUGAAAGCCCUGGGCUCAACCUGGGAAUUGCAGUGGAUACUGGAUCACUAGAGUGUGGUAGAGGAUAGUGGAAUUUCCGGUGUAGCAGUGAAAUGCGUAGAGAUCGGGAGGAACAUCAGCGGCGAAGGCGGCCAUCUGGGACAACACUGACGCUGAGGCACGAAAGCGUGGGGAGCAAACAGGAUUAGAUACCCCCGUAGUCCCUGUCUCUUAUAC